UACGUAGGGUGCGAGCGUUAAUCGGAAUUACUGGGCGUAAAGAGCGCGCAGGCGGUCGGAUAAGUCGAAUGUGAAAGCCCCCGGCUCAACUGGGGAGGGUCAUUCGAUACUGUUCGACUCGAAGGCAGGAGAGGGGAGUGGAAUUCCCGGUGUAGUGGUGAAAUGCGUAGAUAUCGGGAGGAACACCAGUGGCGAAGGCGACUUCCUGGCCUGUUCUUGACGCUGAGGCGCGAAAGCUAGGGGAGCAAACGGG
RNAcentral lists this ribosomal RNA (253 nucleotides) under uncultured bacterium. Its description in RNAcentral is "partial 16S ribosomal RNA". It matches the Rfam family "Bacterial small subunit ribosomal RNA", at positions 524 to 776 of the family's 1533-position model. The record is from RNAcentral.